Long non-coding RNA from Gasterosteus aculeatus aculeatus (three-spined stickleback), 3666 nucleotides. The record is from Ensembl. NCBI's taxonomy places the organism in Eukaryota, Metazoa, Chordata, Actinopteri, Perciformes, Gasterosteidae.
CAAAGACUGAGGACGGAGGGGGUCCUUGUGUGGGUCCAACAAACAACUGAAGUGGAGGAGUUUCUACCGGAGGCCAACUGUGACAAACGCACACUCUAACACAAUCACACGCGCACACACACACACUAAUGUAGAGAAUCAAUGAAUAUACUGUACGUGUUUGAAUAGAUUAGUUACACUAUAUGGACAUGAAAUGUGACAACACGCACACCAUGUACUUCUCCAUGCAGAACACACACACCUGCCCACACAAAAUAUGGACUUCUUUAUAUCCGCGUUUACAGACACACGUGGUCUUAAAAAGUGCCAAAACGUUGAGUUCAUGUGCAGACGAGAGGAACCAAACAUCUGUAGAAAUGAACUAAGUGUCUCAAAGCCUCAGUGUACUUCAUGCUUUCUGUCAUGUGUUUGUUUCUCUGUACAACCAAUGCUUUCUUUUUGCUCAACUGUCUUUAUUAUCGGCGCUUCCCAUUUUUGUUAAAAACGCUGUGUGUGUUGGUGUGAAGUUGCUCAAUGUGAAUGUCACAUCUGGAGUUGUCAUGGGUUCUUCUGAUCUGUCCGACUGCAAAAAAACAAAAAGGAGACACAUGCUAGAUAAGAUUUGAGAAGAACAGAAGAAGCCUUUGGAUCUGCAGGGACCUCAUAUUUAAAUAAACUAACAGCACAGUCUUUAUCCAACCGGGAGAACCAAUUAUCUGUAAAUAUUCAGGAUUACAAUCAAUUAUCUCCUGAAAAGUACAAAAUCUUUGUUGAAAUGAGUCAGUGGGAGGAGGACGGGUCCCAAAACCAUCGAUGAUGCAAACAAGUGCUUCCUCUGAGAUCAGAGAGAGAGAUGGGGACCGCGGGCCGAUUCAUCAAUGGAGGUUGUUAAGGGCCGGGGGCAAAAUAGCCGACUGGCGUCUUCCAAACACGAUACAGAAGACGCUCCACCUGACGUCCUGUAUCAGAAAGAUGUUGUUCAUGUUCAGUUUAUUAUUCCAAGUAUUGGAUCCUAACAAAGUUUUCUAUGAGUUGCAGUUAAGAAGACAUUGAUAUCUUCUGAAGGUACCUUAAAUGUAAAAUGUAAAUCAGACGUUGCCAAUAUCAGUUCUAACCCGUUGGGUCAAGUUCCUUUUUAUUGACGAGACGUUCUGCAUUGACAUCGAGAGACGAGAUGAAGAGAAGAGCACAACACGCAAGCCUUUCACCGCUGCUGGCUAUCAAGCGUCAGAGUAAGGUGGCCUUCUGUUUGGGUCAUCAGCUCCAUCAGCUGGUCCCUCUGCCUCCGACAGCGUGAGGUCACAUGUGCGAUGGUGCUAAAACGUGUUUGGUACCAACAGCUCAUCGCUGUCCACAUGCAGCAGAGACGGAGGGGGAGAUUUCAUUUUUUCAUCUGUUUGCUGCACAGGGUGAUGGUUGGAUAGCUGAAAUAUUGAGUCUAUAAGACGAACGCAAUCAUGAACUUUUCAUCCAAUAGUACUUUCAGCGAGUGAAUCUCAGCACAAAGAAUAAAUGACAGGUUCCAUUUAUGACUCGGCCUGCAGCAAAAUGGAUCUCUAGAAGAUUUACUCAUUAUUAUUCUCCCCAGCGCACAGAUGUGACCCAGUGUUCCCAUACUCAAUUUGCAAUAUAGACGUCUUCAUAACCUGACGUUUUUUUUCACGCAACCUUGUUAGGUGAUUUGUGUCUCCAUAGUUACAGUAGACUCUUCUGAGAAGAAAGCGCUUAAAGACUUCUCAGAGCGCUAUCACACAAAUUCGCUCCAUGAGCCGUCGUACGACCUUAAUCCCAGAAUCCUAAUCAUCCUCUCAGCCCACAUCUCCAGCUGCUGCCAUGGCGACGGCCCCAGGUGGCACGCUGGUGGACUCCGAAUGGGCCUCUGAAUCGACCCCAUGUUCUCACGCUAGCGAGAGAUCAUUCCCGUCUCAAUUAGUGGCCAACAAUAGUCUCUCAGAAGUGAUCAUUUGCAAAAGAAGCCAAAAAACACAGAACGUUCGUCCCUGCCAGCCACUUCCUCCUCUCCAGUGAUGGAGACGGACGUCCCCCGUGCCCCUCAUUUCCUCUCUUGUUGGCUUUGCCCUCCAUUUCUGCUCCUUCAUCUCCAACAGUGGGAAGAGGCAAAAAGCCGCCAGCGCACUCUUGGUGCUCGUAAACCAAUCUAAUAUUUAAAAUGUCUACUUUCUGAAUGUACGUUUCAUAGUUAUGCAUGGCAGCAGAUGUUUACUGUGGUAAUUAGCACGGAUGUGGUUAGUCAAUCUCUGCUGGAGAAGUUUCUGAGGAGCUGAAGUUCAUAAACUUCAUAAACUCAUGUUUACGGUUUCAAUCUCUAGUUUAGAUCUAAUGCGACUGGAAAAGACUGAAAGAAGUAACUAGUGGAGACCAUGUUGGUGUGUGUGUGUCUGUGGGUUGUGCGUGUGUGUGCUAUUACUUGCACAUCACCUUAAUGAUGUGCCCUUUGUAUUCACUUUAAUUGGCCUGUUCGUAAUUACACGGGAGAGUUUCCUGUCUAACACACAAGGUGACCUGGUUGUGACUUUGUACUGGAGAGCCGGAGAAAAUAGAAGAAGAAAAAUUCCUCCUCAGUCCUUUCUUUGACAUCAGGAAACAAGUAACAAGAAGUCAAAUGUAACCAUGACCGGUUACGUUGCCCAAGAACCCCUGAAGAUGAAGCCCUUUCCUCCUUUCCGCAUCAUAGCCACAACAUUUCUGCCCAAAAAUACUAAAUAUGGUAGCGUAACAAACACGCUCAGAUUAAAAUAAUGGAGGUCCUAUGAACUCAAUGGCAAUCGCUCCAUCUUGGUAUUCACGGGACCAACUGAAGGAAUAUGAAAGCACCAAAGACGAUUCAUUUCCUGCGGUUCAGUCUGAUGAGCACGGCAGCCUCCAGGGACCAUUAGUGGGAUGUUGAUUUAAAAUCGUUUACAGUCAUUAGCGCCAAGACGAGGGAUUCGUGUUUUACUCCAUUUCAUGAAAAUAAUCGUACCUUUUUGAAAAAUUAGAAAACACCUCUUACAUCAAAAAGGUUCAAUACAUAAAUCAUUUUUAUUGUUUAAACAAUAAAACUGCCAAUCUUUAUUAUUUAUUUGAUCAGCGUUUUAUUUUAAUGUGGCUCCUUCAGCCAAACAUGAGUGUGAGUAAUGAUGAGGAGAUGUGUUUAUGAAUAUAUUACAUACACAUAUUAUAUUAUAUAUACAUAUUAUAUAACAACACAUGUUUAUGUGUUGUUUACUGACAACCACAACAGCAGCAAAUUCCCCAAAUCUUCGAACUUACCUGGACAUGAUGAAUCCACACGUCUCCUCUAAUGAACGUGCCGGAUAUCACGAGUUGAGGUUGUAAUGCGAAGCGACCGAUCGGAGGGUAACCGUGACAACGUGGUGUGACAUGCAUGACGAUGGAUGAAAUUCAGACAAUGAGGCGAAACGUGGACAUCGUUUGUCUCCCCUGUACUGCAACCCCCCCCCUCCCACACACACACUGUGUUGUAACAGCCGGUUUGUGUUCACCUUGUGUACUCUGAUCUAUUCCUGGUGUGUUUUACAGCAGUUUGGUUCCCCGUCGGACAGGAAAUGUGUAAACUAAACAAAGGAGGCAAACAAACAAGAAAAAUCUGUGAAUUUUGUACAAACCGUAGGAACAAGUGACUGUUUUUCUACUGAGCCUGUUAUCUCUAUGUGUUUCUCUGGU